Molecule: non-coding RNA, 107 nt
Organism: Gossypium hirsutum (cotton)
Lineage: Eukaryota; Viridiplantae; Streptophyta; Magnoliopsida; Malvales; Malvaceae
Source: Rfam
AACCUAUUGUGAAGGCAUAUUCUCAAUUAAUCAUUGUAUCUCUCUCAUGCAUCAUAUAAGGUCUCUAAAUCAAUCUGAAGAAAGAACGAGAUAUCAUUCCUCAACUC